CAUGUCUUAUUGUAUUUAAUAAUAAGUUUGACCUGCCCACUGAAAAUAGUAUGUUUAAAUGGCCGCAGUAUAUUAACUGUGCAAAGGUAGCAUAAUAAUUUGUUUUUUAAUUGGAGACUGGAAUGAAUGGUUGGACGUAAGAACUGCUGUCUCUAUUCUUUUAUAUUGAAUUUUACUUUUAAGUGAAAAGGCUUAAAUUUUAUUAAGGGACGAGAAGACCCCAUCAAGUUUUAUAAGUGUAAGUUUUUAUUUUUUCAUGUAUAAUUUCUUAAUUUAUUUUUCUGGGGCGGAAGAAAUAGUAUAUCUUUUUUUUAAAGUGGGAAUAACUAUUAAGUUUAUUAUUGAGUUUUAAUUAAAAAUAAUAUGAAUAAAUUACUGUGGGGGUAACAGCGUUAUUUCUUUUUAGAGUUCAUAUUAAUAAAGAAGAUUGCGACCUCGAUGUUGGAUUAAUUUUACCUAAUGGUGAAGAAGCUAUUAAGGUGAGUCUGUUCGACUUUUAAUAAAAUUACGUG
Molecule: ribosomal RNA, 512 nt
Filed under: Pallenopsis patagonica
Lineage: Eukaryota; Metazoa; Arthropoda; Pycnogonida; Pantopoda; Pallenopsidae
Description: partial 16S ribosomal RNA
Rfam family: Archaeal large subunit ribosomal RNA
Source: RNAcentral